Molecule: non-coding RNA, 21 nt
Filed under: Rattus norvegicus (Norway rat)
Lineage: Eukaryota; Metazoa; Chordata; Mammalia; Rodentia; Muridae
Source: RNAcentral
CAUUUGGAGUCUCAUCCACGC